RNAcentral lists this ribosomal RNA (877 nucleotides) under uncultured bacterium. RNAcentral describes it as "bacterial SSU rRNA". It matches the Rfam family "Bacterial small subunit ribosomal RNA", at positions 51 to 918 of the family's 1533-position model. The record is from RNAcentral.
ACACAUGCAAGUCGAGGGGCAGCAUGGUCUUAGCUUGCUAAGGCUGAUGGCGACCGGCGCACGGGUGAGUAACACGUAUCCAACCUGCCGUCUACUCUUGGCCAGCCUUCUGAAAGGAAGAUUAAUCCAGGAUGGGAUCAUGAGUUCACAUGUCCGCAUGAUUAAAGGUAUUUUCCGGUAGACGAUGGGGAUGCGUUCCAUUAGAUAGUAGGCGGGGUAACGGCCCACCUAGUCAACGAUGGAUAGGGGUUCUGAGAGGAAGGUCCCCCACAUUGGAACUGAGACACGGUCCAAACUCCUACGGGAGGCAGCAGUGAGGAAUAUUGGUCAAUGGGCGAUGGCCUGAACCAGCCAAGUAGCGUGAAGGAUGACUGCCCUAUGGGUUGUAAACUUCUUUUAUAAAGGAAUAAAGUCGGGUAUGCAUACCCGUUUGCAUGUACUUUAUGAAUAAGGAUCGGCUAACUCCGUGCCAGCAGCCGCGGUAAUACGGAGGAUCCGAGCGUUAUCCGGAUUUAUUGGGUUUAAAGGGAGCGUAGAUGGAUGUUUAAGUCAGUUGUGAAAGUUUGCGGCUCAACCGUAAAAUUGCAGUUGAUACUGGAUGUCUUGAGUGCAGUUGAGGCAGGCGGAAUUCGUGGUGUAGCGGUGAAAUGCUUAGAUAUCACGAAGAACUCCGAUUGCGAAGGCAGCCUGCUAAGCUGCAACUGACAUUGAGGCUCGAAAGUGUGGGUAUCAAACAGGAUUAGAUACCCUGGUAGUCCACACGGUAAACGAUGAAUACUCGCUGUUUGCGAUAUACGGCAAGCGGCCAAGCGAAAGCGUUAAGUAUUCCACCUGGGGAGUACGCCGGCAACGGUGAAACUCAAAGGAAUUGACGGGG